This 90-nucleotide microRNA precursor is filed under the name Carlito syrichta (Philippine tarsier). Its description in RNAcentral is "miRNA (ENSTSYG00000021322.2)". The stretch from base 13 to 83 matches the Rfam family "mir-551 microRNA precursor family". Lineage: Eukaryota; Metazoa; Chordata; Mammalia; Primates; Tarsiidae. The record is from RNAcentral.
GAUGUACUCUCCUGGCCGGUGAGAUCAAGCAUGGGUGAGACCUGGUGCACAGGAAGGCGACCCAUACUUGGUUUCAGAGGCUGCGAGAAU